GGCAAAUGGAUGGAACUAGAAGAAACCAUCCUGAGUGAGGUAACCAAGACACAGAAGAAAAACAUGGUCAACAAUAAAUGUAUAGUUUCCUGAUGAGAAGGCAACAGUUGAAGGUCAUAGGUCUGCAUCUAUUUCCUAUUGAACAGCUUUGCUGGUCACAAAAGCACAGACCUCAGUUCUAUUGUUCUCAUCAUAACUCAAGUCACCACUUUCUCUUCAAAAGAUGUAAACCCAAGACUAUGGUGUUCUCCCCCAAACUCUGAACUUCACCAAGAAAUCAACUUUUGGGUUUUUGUUCCUUUGUUUUUUUCCUGGAUACUGGUUCUGAGUAUUCAGCUACGACAGGGAUUCACAAACAUCAUGGAUGGUUUUGUGGAAGACAGAGUAUAUCUGUAAUGUAUUCCUUAUAUUUCAGCCUUUAGCUGAAAUUAAGAUAUCUGUAAUACUCAGAGAAGUCCAUAGCAUGCCUCCUUCCUGCCCAAUAUAAGCAACCCCCCCCAUGAUGUAUUUAUAAUACACAAACUGGAGAGUUAGACCCCAUUGCUCUGAUAUAUUGAGAAGCAAGGUUUGUUUAUGAUACGAUAUUCCUGUUUAAGAUUUAAUAAAGACCACUAUCUGUUUUGUAUUGUCA
RNAcentral lists this long non-coding RNA (631 nucleotides) under Cricetulus griseus (Chinese hamster). Its description in RNAcentral is "lncRNA (ENSCGRG00015041603.1)". Lineage: Eukaryota; Metazoa; Chordata; Mammalia; Rodentia; Cricetidae. The record is from RNAcentral.